AUUGAACGCUGGCGGAAUGCUUUACACAUGCAAGUCGAACGGCAGCACGGGGGCAACCCUGGUGGCGAGUGGCGAACGGGUGAGUAAUACAUCGGAACGUGCCCAGUCGUGGGGGAUAACGUAGCGAAAGUUACGCUAAUACCGCAUACGAUCUACGGAUGAAAGCGGGGGACCGUAAGGCCUCGCGCGAUUGGAGCGGCCGAUUUCAGAUUAGGUAGUUGGUGAGGUAAAGGCUCACCAAGCCGACGAUCUGUAGCUGGUCUGAGAGGACGACCAGCCACACUGGGACGAAGACACGGCCCAGACUCCUACGGGAGGCAGCAGUGGGGAAUUUUGGACAAUGGGCGCAAGCCUGAUCCAGCCAUUCCGCGUGCAGGACGAAGGCCUUCGGGUUGUAAACUGCUUUUGUACGGAACGAAAAGGUUCUGGUUAAUACCUGGGGCUCAUGACGGUACCGUAAGAAUAAGCACCGGCUAACUACGUGCCAGCCGCCGCAGUA
Molecule: ribosomal RNA, 499 nt
Filed under: uncultured bacterium
Lineage: Bacteria
Description: partial 16S ribosomal RNA
Rfam family: Bacterial small subunit ribosomal RNA
Source: RNAcentral